CUGCUGAGCCUGUGGAGCAGCAGCUGUUGGACAAUCCCAUUUUUUGGUGUUUUCCCAAAUAUUAGGAGAGUUUGUGGUGCAAUCUGUGUUAGUGGCACCUCUUUGGGGCAAAUCCUGACACUGGCCCCAGGAUGUGAUGCACUGAGCCUGGGGUAGAUCUCCUGGAUCUUCAGAGGAGAGAGGAGAAAUGUUGCCAACUGAUUAAUAUUUUAAGCAUGUAGACAACCUGCAGACCUUGCUCUUCGACUCAGAUUUCUCCUUUCUCCCCUCCCCAAAAAUGGUUUUGCUGCUUUAAACUCAUUGUUCAGAUUUCCUGCUCCCAGGGUCCAGGGGAGCACAAGAAUUUGGAUACUGGAGAUCUGAGCUUGAAUCCAGGAAUAACCCAGCCCUUGUCCUCCUUCCCUGGGCAAAG
Long non-coding RNA from Haemorhous mexicanus (house finch), 412 nucleotides. RefSeq lists it as uncharacterized. The transcript is spliced from 3 exons. The record is from RefSeq and is a predicted model, not a curated record. Lineage: Eukaryota; Metazoa; Chordata; Aves; Passeriformes; Fringillidae.